UAAUGGCAAAUAAGAUGAAUGUCCCUGCCGUUAUGAAUAUCAUAGUCUAGCGAGGGAGGAUCAUAAACGAACGAAUUCGAUUCUGACCGUGAAUAGGGAUAAAGCUGACUGAAGUUACUGUUUUUGAAAAGGGCUAGAAGUGGAAAGAGGUCUCUGUCUCAGACUAUCCCUUGCUUCCGGCACUGUGUUGAUGCAAAGCGUGUGUUCCAUUGGGCCUGCGCAUUAGCGUUUUCACCCACUGCAGCUUUCAAUGGGUUGGGCUUGGUUACAGCACGAUGGCAGGUAUCCAAGAGAAGUUUUCAGAGGAGAACGAAAUUAAGGCACAAAGAGACUAAGGAACUGUCCUGCAUGUCACCCAGGAAGCUGUAGAAACGAGCUGGCAUCUGCAUGAAAACAGGCUUUACAGGGUCUCUGACUACAUUAAAACAAAGUCAAAGGCAACUCAUUGUGGUUGGACACCGGAGGAGGAGCACGUUCCUAACCCCAGCAUUUAGGAAGCUGGGACAGGAAGGUCCCAAGUUUGAGGACAGCAAGACCAUGUCUCAACAAAACAAACCCACCCAUGCAUUCAACCAACAAAAACCAACAAACAACAGCUUCUAGAAAGUCCGAGAACAACAAUAUAACAGCAACUGCUUAAAAGACCUAGUUAGAGGAUGCUGUUCUGUGUCCCACAGGACCGACCCAGAAACACCUUCCUCCUUUGAAUUGGCACCUUAAGAGCAAAGAUACUAAUAAGGGUCUACACAGACAGCGUGGCAGGUAGCUCCAGCUUUUGUAGCCAAACGCUGUUUUUGGUGAGAGAUGAGAAUGAAGAUUCGUGUACACAAGCAACAGAGGUCUCCCUGUGUGGUUUGGCUGGGAUAGGUUAUGACUGUAGGGCUCUGGAGAAAGCAGAGAGUUUGUUGUACAGAGGUCCAGCCCAUUUUGAGAAAAGCAAAAGUCUCAUCUAUAAUUGCAACCUGUACGCAAGGCCUCCACCUCAAGCUGGUGCCUGAGGAUUAGGAACGGAACAUGUGGGGUAAGGAAAGCUUCCUCGCCCUUUAUUCCCUUUGUUCAACAUCCCUGGCCCGACUUGAAAGACUAGAGGUUCCAGGAGAGGGCGAAGCAGCCAGGUUGUCCCUGUUGUGAACGGUCUGUGUCCGUCUCCUGCAACUGCUCCCUCUGGUGCUCAGAAGUGGAAUUUGCUACUAACCUGGUGCUCAGACUGCCCAGCCUGCCAUCAACUUUUCUUCAACUUACGCAUUGCACCCGAAGAGGUCUGGAGAUCACUGGGUCCUCUGCCCUUGACUCUCAAAGCCGUCCCCCGCCCCAAGACAAUGAAAAAACUAUAUCCUGUCACUCUUUACCCUGAGUGUGUUUUCACCAAGAAGCCAGCAGUCCCCACGGCAGCCAGGACCAGGGGUUUAUGAGGGCAUCUCGCUACCUCCGAGGUCUUGUGUGAGACGUUGGAAGGAUGAACGAGUUGUCCUUUCUCAAUAAUUCGAACUUUCAGCUAUGUUUUGAGACCCUUGGAUUGUCAAGGCCAUGCGAGUGAAAAGCAUUGCGAUUAUUUAUUGCCACAAUUGCCGUCUGUCGGCUUCUCGGCUGACACCCAAGGCUCCUCGUCCAUCUUUCCAAACAUCAAACAGAUUACCAAUGCUUAAGAAGAGAAGUGCUGUCAUGCAAGAUUCAUAAAGAGACGCCACUUGCAGAGACCUCCUCCUGAGCAUCUGACAUCACCGAGGGGAUUGACAUAAAGCAAGCUGUCCCCAAGCACAGGCGCUGGCGCUGAGCUCCGAUGCGGGACCUCUGAAGGGUGGGCCUUUUAUUUUCAGAAGGCAUUGUCUUGGUGUAGACAUGGCAGCUAUGUUUUCCUGACACCUUGUCUUGUGCUGAAAGACACAUCGGUUAUACCUUCCCCGACAUCAGAGGGUUUGUUAAAGCCUGGUUGAAGAGAAUCAUAAUAAAAAUCUAUAAGCACGGG
Mesocricetus auratus (golden hamster) is the source of this 1966-nucleotide long non-coding RNA. RefSeq lists it as uncharacterized. The transcript has 3 exons. The record is from RefSeq and is a predicted model, not a curated record. Lineage: Eukaryota; Metazoa; Chordata; Mammalia; Rodentia; Cricetidae.